ACAUCCUCAACCUUGGUCUAGGUUGGACUUGGCCUCCCAUCGCGGAGGCUGGAAUGCAGUCGCUAGCGGUGCUAGACAUUGUGUGCCAGAGCGUCACAAUGCGGCUGUCCAACGCUAGUUCACCAUCUCUUUUU
Molecule: unclassified non-coding RNA, 134 nt
Filed under: uncultured Rozellomycota
Lineage: Eukaryota; Fungi; Rozellomycota
Description: uncultured Cryptomycota sequence contains ITS2
Source: RNAcentral